Odocoileus virginianus texanus is the source of this 205-nucleotide long non-coding RNA. RefSeq lists it as uncharacterized. The record is from RefSeq and is a predicted model, not a curated record. NCBI's taxonomy places the organism in Eukaryota, Metazoa, Chordata, Mammalia, Artiodactyla, Cervidae.
CUGGGCUACAGGGCAGUGGUCCCCGCCGAGAGAAGGCCAUGUGAGCAGGAUGAAUUUAAACCCGGUCUAGGACACCACCCAGCGCUCUGGGAAAAGCUGGGAAGUGAAAGGUCGCAACUGUGAGCCAUGGGCUGAGCCAGGACUGGCGACCUCCGGAGGAGACGGUUUGGAUCUGGAGCCAGAAACAAGGCUUAAUAACUCAGAA